This 72-nucleotide transfer RNA is filed under the name Camelus bactrianus (Bactrian camel). It matches the Rfam family "tRNA". From Rfam's summary of the family: Transfer RNA (tRNA) molecules are approximately 80 nucleotides in length. Their secondary structure includes four short double-helical elements and three loops (D, anti-codon, and T loops). Lineage: Eukaryota; Metazoa; Chordata; Mammalia; Artiodactyla; Camelidae. The record is from Rfam by way of RNAcentral. RNAcentral also lists the same sequence under 3 other names.
GAGGAUAUAGCUAAGUGGUAGAGUGCAUGCUUAGCAUGCACAAGGUCCUGGGUUCAACCCCCAGUACCUCCA